UACGUAGGGUGCAAGCGUUAAUCGGAAUUACUGGGCGUAAAGCGUGCGCAGGCGGUUGUGUAAGACAGAUGUGAAAUCCCCGGGCUCAACCUGGGAACUGCAUUUGUGACUGCACAGCUGGAGUGCGGCAGAGGGGGGAUGGAAUUCCGCGUGUAGCAGUGAAAUGCGUAGAUAUUGGAAGGAACACCAGUGGCGAAGGCGGCCACCUGGACAAACACUGACACUGAGGCACGAAAGCGUGGGUAGCGAACAGG
RNAcentral lists this ribosomal RNA (254 nucleotides) under uncultured bacterium. RNAcentral's name for it is "partial 16S ribosomal RNA". It matches the Rfam family "Bacterial small subunit ribosomal RNA", at positions 524 to 776 of the family's 1533-position model. The record is from RNAcentral.